Molecule: ribosomal RNA, 1430 nt
Filed under: metagenome
Description: bacterial LSU rRNA
Rfam family: Bacterial large subunit ribosomal RNA
Source: RNAcentral
GUAGGCUGGUUUUCCAGGCAAAUCCGGAAAAUCAAGGCUGAGGCGUGAUGACAAGGCACUACGGUGCUGAAGCAACAAAUGCCCUGCUUCCAGGAAAAGCCUCUAAGCAUCAGGUAACAUCAAAUCGUACCCCAAACCGACACAGGUGGUCAGGUAGAGAAUACCAAGGCGCUUGAGAGAACUCGGGUGAAGGAACUAGGCAAAAUGGUGCCGUAACUUCGGGAGAAGGCACGCUGAUAUGUAGGUGAGGUCCCUCGCGGAUGGAGCUGAAAUCAGUCGAAGAUACCAGCUGGCUGCAACUGUUUAUCAAAAACACAGCACUGUGCAAACACGAAAGUGGACGUAUACGGUGUGACGCCUGCCCGGUGCCGGAAGGUUAAUUGAUGGGGUUAGCGCAAGCGUAGCUCUUGAUCGAAGCCCCGGUAAACGGCGGCCGUAACAAUAACGGUCCUAAGGUGGCGAAAUUCCUUGUCGGGUAAGUUCCGACCUGCACGAAUGGCGUAAUGAUGGCCAGGCUGUCUCCACCCGAGACUCAGUGAAAUUGAACUCGCUGUGAAGAUGCAGUGUACCCGCGGCAAGACGGAAAGACCCCGUGAACCUUUACUAUAGCUUGACACUGAACAUUGAGCCUUGAUGUGUAGGAUAGGUGGGAGGCUUUGAAGUGUGGACGCCAGUCUGCAUGGAGCCGACCUUGAAAUACCACCCUUUAAUGUUUGAUGUUCUAACGUUGACCCGUAAUCCGGGUUGCGGACAGUGUCUGGUGGGUAGUUUGACUGGGGCGGUCUCCUCCUAAAGAGUAACGGAGGAGCACGAAGGUUGGCUAAUCCUGGUCGGACAUCAGGAGGUUAGUGCAAUGGCAUAAGCCAGCUUGACUGCGAGCGUGACGGCGCGAGCAGGUGCGAAAGCAGGUCAUAGUGAUCCGGUGGUUCUGAAUGGAAGGGCCAUCGCUCAACGGAUAAAAGGUACUCCGGGGAUAACAGGCUGAUACCGCCCAAGAGUUCAUAUCGACGGCGGUGUUUGGCACCUCGAUGUCGGCUCAUCACAUCCUGGGGCUGAAGUAGGUCCCAAGGGUAUGGCUGUUCGCCAUUUAAAGUGGUACGCGAGCUGGGUUUAGAACGCCGUGAGACAGUUCGGUCCCUAUCUGCCGUGGGCGCUGGAGAACUGAGGGGGGCUGCUCCUAGUACGAGAGGACCGGAGUGGACGCAUCACUGGUGUUCGGGUUGUCAUGCCAAUGGCGCUGCCCGGUAGCUAAAUGCGGAAGAGAUAAGUGCUGAAAGCAUCUAAGCACGAAACUUGCCCCGAGAUGAGUUCUCCCUGACCCUUUAAGGGUCCUGAAGGAACGUUGAAGACGACGACGUUGAUAGGCCGGGUGUGUAAGCGCAGCGAUGCGUUGAGCUAACCGGUACUAAUGAACCGUGAGGCUUAACCUG